AUUUUGGACAAUGGGGGAAACCCUGAUCCAGCCAUCCCGCGUGUAUGAUGAAGGCCUNNNGGUUGNACAGUACUUUUGGCAGANAAGNAAAGGUAUCCCCUAAUACGGGAUACUGCUGACGGUAGCUGCAGAAUAAGCACUGGCUAACUACGUGCCAGUAGCCGCGGUAAUACGUAGGGAGCAAGCGUUAAUCGGAAUUACUGGGGGUAAAGCGUGUGUAGGCGGUUCGGAAAGAAAGAUGUGCAAUCCCAGGGCUCAACCUUGGAACUGCAUUUUUAACUGCCGAGCUGGAGUAUGUCAGAGGGGGGUAGAAUUCCACGUGUAGCAGUGAAAUGCGUAGAUAUGUGGAGGAAUACCGAUGGCGAAGGCAGCCCCCUGGGAUAAUACUGACGCUCAGACACGAAAGCGUGGGGAGCAAACAGG
RNAcentral lists this ribosomal RNA (423 nucleotides) under uncultured bacterium. RNAcentral describes it as "partial 16S ribosomal RNA". It matches the Rfam family "Bacterial small subunit ribosomal RNA", at positions 361 to 776 of the family's 1533-position model. The record is from RNAcentral.